CCUCAAAACCUACAUUGAGCAUCUGCCCUGAAACAUCAUGCACUUUGUCUCGCUAUCGAACACCCAGCAAUAACCACUGAUCAUACAAAUUUAGAGAUCGAUUUCCAUCACUCCAAUGACCUACAGAUUCAAUAGUUCGCGAUAUUCGGCCAUUGAUUUGCUCUAGCGGUGGUGCUGCUCAAUCGGUUUGUCUUGAAUAUUAAAUGGGCAGUGAAUUCAUAGAACAGUGGGUUAAAAUCGGUUUGCUUGCCAAGAACAAAGUGAAAGCAGAUUGCAGCGAUUUGGAGUACUCGGAUCUAUGCACUAAGUGUGAGAAGUGAAGAGGAGUGAUCCAUAGAGAAGCUGCAGAGAAAUGGUUGUUGGUGGUACAGAGAUUGGACCAGAAUGGUGUGAGGUAAACGUUCAAGUACCAAUAAAAAAGAUGAAAACUUGGUAAGACUAUAUGGUUUAUUUUAUACAAUUCAAGAUUGUAUUGGUCCAUCCGCGGCAUGGCCCUAUCCAUUCAUCUCGGUAGUCCAUGAGGAAUGAGGACGCAUGAUGACUCAAGAUUUUAUGCUUCUUAUUUCUUUAUUUGCUUUUAAUUUCUUUGUUAAAUGUUAAGACUUUAUGUUAGAUAAUGUUAUAACUUAUUUGUGGUUAGUGUUUUUGUUAUGAACAUGCUUAUUUGAAAUAUAAUGAAGUUUUAUUUCUUUCAUUAGUUGAUGGUUAUACAAUAACUAUUAGGUGUAAUAUGUUGAUGGUUUGUUUAUAAAAUUGGUUUUAUAAUCUUAUUUGGGAUUUAAUACCAUUUUCUUGAUAUUAAAGUAGCUAUAACGUUACAUCAUCAUGGUCCUAUAAGUUAAUUUUUAAGGACGCUUGUAUGUGUAUCAAAAGAUUAAAAGUAGGUAAUCACAUAUUAGAACAUUGUAAAAGUGUCCUAAUAUGUUCUUUUUAGGACGCUAUUUAAGUUGUCUAUAGACAUAUUAUGCGACCAUAAAAUUGGUUUCAUUAUCUUAUUUGGUAUAUUAGGACCCUUUUCUUGGCAUUAAAUUAGAUAUAAUGUUACAUCAUAAGGGUCCUAUCAAUUAAUUUCUAAGGACGCUUGUAAGUGUAUCAAAAGAUUAAAAGUAUGUAAGUACAUGUUAGAACAUCGUAAAAGUGUCCUAAUAUGUUUUUAUUAGGACACUAUUUUGGUUGUUCAAAACCAUAUUACGCGACCAUAAAAUUGGUUUCAUAAUCUUAUUUGAGAUGUUAGGACGCUUUUUUAGUUCCGGGACUUAUUACGACCCCUUUACAUGAAACGCUUUUACCGUUGGUCCUAUUAAAUGAAAGGUCCUAUAAAAUAGAAUUUUAGGACGCUUUUGCGCGUACUAAAAACCCAGUUUUCUUGUAGUGUUUGUAUGAAAAUUUAAGAUGGAUCAGUAUAUCGACAAUCGAGGUGAAUUGUUUAAGUCUUAGUAUGUAAUGUAGCUUAACGGUACUUGUAAUCUGUCUGAAAAGCUGAUAUGAUUCCCUGACACGCUCACCAAAAAUAAUUUUUGUAAAUAGUUUAUUUUCUGCAAUUUAAGUUUCUGUUAUUUCAUUUCUUAGUUUAGAUCAUCUUAAAAUCCAAAAAGAUUUUAUUUCUGCUUUAUUUUAGACAAACCAGAGUGGAAAGUUGAUUGUCGGAUUCUAGAAAGAUGAAGCAGAUGCAGGAGAUUCUGAGCUAAAGAUCGAGGAGAGCUUACAUUGUUGAAAAUGUGUUUGUUUUCAAAGUCAAAAACAAGUUCAUUAAGUUGAUACUUGUUAUUUUUAGAAAAAGUUGAAAAUGAUUUUACUAAAAAUCAGUUUGAUUCGUCAACAGGUCAACCAGAGUCAUUAAAUUGAACUUGGUAGAUUAAUCAAGUAUUCAGGGUCAUUAACUUGAACUUGAAAACUUGAGUGGAUUUCUAAAAGCUGAUUGAAUUUGUGUUUAUUGUUUGAAAAGAUAGAUUGUAAUGUUAUUGGUUGAGUAACAGGUUUGGACAUUAUUUCCCAAUGGAGUCAAAUUGUAAAAGCUUGAACCAGAUAUUUCAAGAUUCCAGCAUACUGAGAGGGGGAGUCUGUGAAAGUGGGAGUCUGGAUCAACAGCUAAUGGGAAGCUUGUAGAUAAAGCUAGGAGAUAGUCCUGGAACCUGUGAAGAAUGCUUAUGAGGAGAAGACAGAGUUUGUGAAAAGACAAAAACUGAAGACUAUGGAACUGAAGACUGAUAAAGACUACGUCAACAUCCAAGGGGGAGUCUGUUGAUGCACGGAAUGUCUGUUGACUGCGUCUACAAAAAGUCUGAAGUCAAUAUUGGUCAACAGGAGGUCAAAUUGUAAAUAGUGUGAUAGAUUGAAGUAGGAUCGCUUAUUUGUCAUUAAACUUAGUGGACCGCUUUUGUGUCAUUAAUCUGGAUCGCUUAUGUGACAAAGGAUCUGGAUCGCUUAUAUGGCAUGUCACAUAAGCGACCCUGGAACUCUAUAAAUAGGAGGAGCGGUUCAUUAGUUGUAACGAUGUAUGUGUGUGCUACGGUGCUGAAACUCUGCCAAAUUUUCAUCAGAAAGCAAUAGAAAGAUAAGGAAUU
This 2564-nucleotide long non-coding RNA is filed under the name Helianthus annuus (common sunflower). RNAcentral's name for it is "hypothetical non coding rna". The record is from RNAcentral. Lineage: Eukaryota; Viridiplantae; Streptophyta; Magnoliopsida; Asterales; Asteraceae.